UAUACAUAUAGGGUGUGUUCUGUUCAGUA
RNAcentral lists this non-coding RNA (29 nucleotides) under Rattus norvegicus (Norway rat). Lineage: Eukaryota; Metazoa; Chordata; Mammalia; Rodentia; Muridae. The record is from RNAcentral.